Molecule: non-coding RNA, 608 nt
Filed under: Beta vulgaris subsp. vulgaris (sugar beet)
Lineage: Eukaryota; Viridiplantae; Streptophyta; Magnoliopsida; Caryophyllales; Amaranthaceae
Description: Bacterial large subunit ribosomal RNA
Rfam family: Bacterial large subunit ribosomal RNA
Source: Rfam by way of RNAcentral
AGCCCCAUAGCAGGUGACAGGCCUGUAGGUGUAAAUUGAUUUGGACGAGCAGUAUCCUGAGUAGCGCGGGACCGGAGGAAUCUUGCGUGAAUCUGCCAGCACCAUCUGGUAAGGCUAAAUACUCCUUAGAUGACCGAUAGUGAACCAGUACCGUAAGGGAAAGGUGAAAAGUACUCCGAACAGGAGAGUGAAAUAGUACCUGAAACCGUGCGCUUACAAGCGGUCGGAGCCAGCAAUGGUGACGGCGUGCCUUUUGCAUAAUGAGCCUACGAGUUGCUCCUCACUGGCGAGGUUAAGUUCUUCAGUAACGGAGCCGUAGCGAAAGCGAGUCCAACAGGGCGACUAGUCAGUGGGGGCAGACGCGAAACUUUGUGAUCUAUCCAUGGGCAGGAUGAAGGUUGGGUAAAACAACUGGAGGUCCGAACUCAUUAACGUUGAAAAGUAUGGGAUGACCUGUGGAUAGGGGUGAAAGGCCAAUCAAACUGAGAGAUAGCUCGUUCUCCCCGAAAUGUUUUUAGGAACAGCCUUGGAUAUAGACGUAUUAUAGAGGUAGAGCUACUAAUUGGGCUAGGGGGCUUCACCGCCUACCAAACCCUAAUAAACUACCG